Non-coding RNA from Acetobacterium bakii, 340 nucleotides. It matches the Rfam family "Bacterial RNase P class A". Rfam says of the family: Ribonuclease P (RNase P) is a ubiquitous endoribonuclease, found in archaea, bacteria and eukarya as well as chloroplasts and mitochondria. Its best characterised activity is the generation of mature 5'-ends of tRNAs by cleaving the 5'-leader elements of precursor-tRNAs. Cellular RNase Ps are ribonucleoproteins. Lineage: Bacteria; Bacillati; Bacillota; Clostridia; Eubacteriales; Eubacteriaceae. The record is from Rfam.
UUAGUAAAUCAGAUAGUCGCACCCGGGUUAUACCGGUUGAGGAAAGUCCGAGCUCCACAGAGCAUGGUGCCGGGUAACGCCCGGUGGAGGCAACUUUAAGGCAAGUGCAACAGAAAGUAUACCGCCAGCAAUGGUAAGGAUGAAAGGGUGAGGUAAGAGCUCACCAGUGGUGUGGUGACACAUCAGCUAUGUAAACCCCACCUGGAGCAAGACCAAGAACGGAUUUUAAAAGACGGCUGCUCGUCGUUAUCCUAAGGUAGGUCGCUAGAAUUUAUUGGUAACAAUAAAUCGAGAUAGAUGACUAUUUAAACAGAACUCGGCUUAUAGAUUUAGUAAACCA